Molecule: long non-coding RNA, 142 nt
Organism: Sphaeramia orbicularis (orbiculate cardinalfish)
Lineage: Eukaryota; Metazoa; Chordata; Actinopteri; Kurtiformes; Apogonidae
Exons: 3
Source: RefSeq, a predicted model, not a curated record
AUUCCAGAGUGCUGGGAGGUAGAAUCUAUCUGACUUGGACUGAAUUCCAUCCCACCUCAAAGUAUUCCAGGUGAUCCACGUUGAACAGAAACUACAAACAUGGAGAUGGCAGAUCUAAACUCUUGUUUAGUUAGAAGAGGCA